GGAAUCUUCGGCAAUGGACGAAAGUCUGACCGAGCAACGCCGCGUGAGUGAAGAAGGUUUUCGGAUCGUAAAACUCUGUUGGUAGAGAAGAACGUUGGUGAGAGUGGAAAGCUCGUCAAGUGACGGUAACUACCCAGAAAGGGACGGCUAACUACGUGCCAG
Molecule: ribosomal RNA, 162 nt
Filed under: uncultured bacterium
Lineage: Bacteria
Description: partial 16S rRNA
Rfam family: Bacterial small subunit ribosomal RNA
Source: RNAcentral